CUCCUCUGACUAUUUUUGGUCAUAUGAAUAUUAUUGGGAUUAUAUAGAUCCAAUUCCAGUAGAUGGAAGCAAGUUGAAGGUUAAUAAAUAUCAAAAAAACCCGGUUAAUAUUGAACAAUCUUGAAACGCAUCUGCAAAGAGAAGUGUGUUUACCGUCUUUUAUAUCAAAGGAAAAUGCUGGCAAAACCACAAAUAUGACGUCACAUUUCUGCACGAGUUGCCUGCUUUCAGCUGGGGCUGACAAAUAUUUUAACAGAAGCUACAGUCCUCCGUGAAGGCCACAGCAGCUUUUUGGUGAGGUGGAGAGGAUGGGUUUAGCUCAGCUGGACCAGAGUCAGAAGGGCCACUUGCACUCCUUCCCCCUUCUGUGGGCCUCUGCUCUCUCCACCUCUCCUCACCUGUGGAGCUCCACCAAACCCAGGCAGAACCAGGCGAAGGUCCAUGAGAGGGUGAGGAACCCUUAAAAGCUCCAGGAAGCACAAAACCAGGACUGCAGAGUUGGGCUGAGGAAGGCAGCAAGAGCUGGAAUAGAUGUAAGGCUGCAUAUAGCUAGUUGCUGGGCUGAGGGCAACACAAAACUCAUUUGAAACUUGAGGAGAAGCUGAAGAGAUUCCACGUUCCCAAGCAGGCAGGAAGAGCUCCUAUGGUGAAGUGCUGCCAGCGCAGCCUUAUGCUGGUAUAGGGAACGUGGGCUGUGAUGUUACCAGAAAGUGGGUGGGUUGGGCUGCAUUAAAAAAGCCUUUAACAGAAGAGACAGACCAGACCACCAGGCAUGUGUUUGUAUUGCGUUGGGAUUGGUUUGAAUCUUCAAAUUUUUUGAUCUCCGAGAUAAACACUUCUGCAGUUUGCUUUCUGAGCAAACUGACUACUACUAGUGUUGGGUUUGGAAACCUGUCAAGGUGUAAAGUCUGUUGAGUCAGACUGAGUCACGGGCAGAUGGAGAAAAUGAGGAAAGGCUGCAGGAACUGAAGGUGCAACAUGGACAGAGACAUAUCAGAGAACCAGCCAUUUCCACCAGGCAACUCAGGUGGCCACAACAGCCUUCCCCUCCCCUUAGAUACCUUUACCUUUUGCUAGAGCUCGGGUAGCUCCCGCAGGAGACAUGAACCGGCUCCCCCGUUGGCACCAGCUCUCCUGCUGCAAUCACACAGUAUCACCAAAGACAGCCUGAAGAGGACCCAACAUCUAGACCUAUUUUCCUUCUCAUGGAUGCAGCAACUGCACUUUGAUCCCUCCUGCAACAUCCGCCUGCCCUGAGCUAGAACAUCUCUCCCGCACCAGCUCUGUGCUGCCGGCGCAGCCUGCUCCAGCGCCCUCCUCCCCAGCUCACGACAGCCUUGUAUCGCCCUGUUGUUCAGGAUCCUCUUCUCUAUGCAUGGAUUCCAAGGGGAUUUCUGGAAGAUGUGAAUACUCCCAUUUGUAACAACUUCAUUAGUUGCACUGGAACAUGACUCAAAGUACAUAACCACUGAAAAGCCUUCCCCCCACCCCCCACCCCCAGAUUACCUGGAAAUGGAAUGUAUAUAGCAUGAAAUACAUAUACAGUAAUAAAUAAUAUGCAAAAUGCAA
Molecule: long non-coding RNA, 1569 nt
Organism: Falco peregrinus (peregrine falcon)
Lineage: Eukaryota; Metazoa; Chordata; Aves; Falconiformes; Falconidae
Exons: 2
Source: RefSeq, a predicted model, not a curated record